Molecule: ribosomal RNA, 422 nt
Filed under: bacterium
Lineage: Bacteria
Description: bacterial SSU rRNA
Rfam family: Bacterial small subunit ribosomal RNA
Source: RNAcentral
GUAGGGAAUAUUGCGCAAUGGGGGAAACCCUGACGCAGCGACGCCGCGUGAACGAUGAAGGCCUUCGGGUCGUAAAGUUCUGUCCUCAGGGAAGAAUAACGGACUAGAUCCGCCAUGACGGUACCUGAGGAGGAAGCCCCGGCUAACUACGUGCCAGCAGCCGCGGUAAUACGUAGGGGGCAAGCGUUGUCCGGAAUUAUUGGGCGUAAAGGGUGCGUAGGCGGCUGUUUAAGUCAGAUGUGAAAGACCACGGCUCAACUGUGGGGUUGCAUUUGAAACUGGACAGCUUGAGUGUUGGAGAGGGUAGUGGAAUUUCCGGUGUAGCGGUGAAAUGCGUAGAUAUCGGGAGGAACACCAGUGGCGAAGGCGACUACCUGGACAAUAACUGACGCUGAUGCACGAAAGCUAGGGGAGCAAACAGG